GACAACUUGAUCUUCGAAAUAAUGGUUUGAAUUCAAUCAUUCCUUCUGAGCUAGGCCUUUGUACUAACCUCACUCACUUGGCUCUAGCAGAGAAUGCCCUGCAAGGACCAUUGCCUACAUCCUUGUCCGCGGUGACCAAGUUAAUUUCCUUGCGCUUGUCUGAUAAUUUUCUUUCUGGUGAGGUUCAAUCAUAUCUCAUUACCAAU
Molecule: unclassified non-coding RNA, 206 nt
Filed under: Hevea brasiliensis (rubber tree)
Lineage: Eukaryota; Viridiplantae; Streptophyta; Magnoliopsida; Malpighiales; Euphorbiaceae
Source: RNAcentral